Dermacentor silvarum is the source of this 812-nucleotide long non-coding RNA. RefSeq lists it as uncharacterized. The transcript has 4 exons. Lineage: Eukaryota; Metazoa; Arthropoda; Arachnida; Ixodida; Ixodidae. The record is from RefSeq and is a predicted model, not a curated record.
GCUUCGCUGUAAAGUACCGUUUGCAAAUGUGUUGUAGCAGAACACAGCGUCACAAGAUGUUAGUAGCGUGCCUACUGCUGUCCAGAGCUCGGUAGGCCGGUUAGUUCGUAAACGGUAUUCUGUUCACAGAUAAACUAAAGCUCUGUCCUUCUGUGUGAGCCGUGGCGACUUCUGUUGCGGGCACACCGAAUACAUUUGUCUGUAGGCAUCUGCAACGGUUUCGUGCAGAGACACAAGGCGAUAAUCGACGACGGAGUUCCGGAUGACGCUUAUCCCGGUAUCGCCAAUGUUCACGAGAACCUUCCCAACGGCCCGAUCACUGGAAUGCUGAACAGUCAAAAGCAAAAGGUUCGGCUCACGCUCAGACUUGAAGAGGAUCAGUUCUGGAUCAGCACAAAAGAUACGACAGAGAAAUAUUCCAUGAGUAAAGUCUUGACCGUGGUCAGCCAACCCAUCGAGGGUCACGAAGAGUAUCACAUAAUGUGCAUCGUGACCGGAAUGUUCUCGGACGUCGUGUGGUUGUACUGGGUGCCGGCCCAGUUCGUGAGAGCCAUCAAGAAAACAAUGCUGAGACGCGGCUAGCUCCCGCGUUCCUCUCCACGUUCGCCAACGAAGCUUCCCGAAGACUGGAGGAGCGAGACUGGAGUGAGCUGCGUAUACGAAAGCAGCCACCGAGACCCAUAUCCAACGGCUUUCUUCAAAUUACUCUUGUAGGCGCCUUGAGCGUGCACGGAGACGAAUGCGACAACGGAGAGCCGCGUACGUGGGGAGGCUACGGACGAAGAUGGGGCGCUGACGUGGAAGAAAUGUGG